AACGAACGCUGGCGGCAGGCUUAACACAUGCAAGUCGAGCGCGUAGCAAUACGAGCGGCAGACGGGUGAGUAACGCGUGGGAAUCUACCCUUUUCUACGGAAUAACGCAGGGAAACUUGUGCUAAUACCGUAUACGCCCUUCGGGGGAAAGAUUUAUCGGAGAAGGAUGAGCCCGCGUUGGAUUAGCUAGUUGGUGGGGUAAAGGCCUACCAAGGCGACGAUCCAUAGCUGGUCUGAGAGGAUGAUCAGCCACAUUGGGACUGAGACACGGCCCAAACUCCUACGGGAGGCAGCAGUGGGGAAUAUUGGACAAUGGGCGCAAGCCUGAUCCAGCCAUGCCGCGUGCGGGAAGAAGGCCUUCGGGUUGUAAACCGCUUU
RNAcentral lists this ribosomal RNA (378 nucleotides) under uncultured Sinorhizobium sp. RNAcentral describes it as "bacterial SSU rRNA". It matches the Rfam family "Bacterial small subunit ribosomal RNA", at positions 29 to 436 of the family's 1533-position model. The record is from RNAcentral. Lineage: Bacteria; Pseudomonadati; Pseudomonadota; Alphaproteobacteria; Hyphomicrobiales; Rhizobiaceae.